This 82-nucleotide transfer RNA is filed under the name bacterium. RNAcentral describes it as "tRNA-Leu". It matches the Rfam family "tRNA". Rfam says of the family: Transfer RNA (tRNA) molecules are approximately 80 nucleotides in length. Their secondary structure includes four short double-helical elements and three loops (D, anti-codon, and T loops). RNAcentral also lists the same sequence under 6 other names. The record is from RNAcentral.
GGGAGCAUGGCGGAAUUGGUAGACGCAGUGCACUCAAAAUGCACCGACUUCGGUCAUCUCGGUUCAAGUCCGAGUGCUCCCA